This 489-nucleotide long non-coding RNA is filed under the name Salvia miltiorrhiza (redroot sage). RNAcentral describes it as "long non-coding RNA (SMIL_LNC002860)". Lineage: Eukaryota; Viridiplantae; Streptophyta; Magnoliopsida; Lamiales; Lamiaceae. The record is from RNAcentral.
GUUACAGCAGUAGUUAAAAGCUCGUUCAAACUCGAACCAUCCAAAAUUCUAAAACUAGUCAUUUAUCAAAUUCAAGCUAGCAUGCCUCAAAGCUGCCUACCUCUUCUUCUUACCACCUUUCCCUUUCUUUGCUUUGUUUUUAUUAUUAUUCUUUGAAUUCUUUCCCUUUCCCUUUUUGUUGGGAUUGGUUUCCACUUCCUCAGCUGCCGAAUUCCCUUUCUUUGAAUUGUUUUUCUUCUCAUUCUUUCCUUUUCCCUUGUGGCUGGGAUUGGGUUCAGCUUCCACAGCUGCUGAAUCCUCUGUUUCACUAUCUUCAUCUUCAACAUUGCUGUCGGAAUUUUUGUCAUCGACCUUCUCUUCAGAGUCAGCAACUACACUGUCGUCGUUCUUCCCUACAAGCAAGCUCAUUAGCACCUCUAGCUCAGGCCGCCUCGCCUCCAUGCUCUUCAGAAGCUCCCCUAUCUCUGCCAGGGCUUUAGAAUCAUACUC